UUGACCAGGCGCCUUGUUAAUUUUAGCACGUGUACCCUUCCCUUCUGCCGCUCCGUUAAAUGGGUUAGGAACACAAAUAAAUGUCCUAGUUGUGGCUACAUUAAUGGAGUUUGUAGAAAGAAGGCCAACUGAGAUGUCCGACACCUCCCUUGCUUUGUUUUAGCUCCUCACAGCUGCUCGCUGGAUGAAGGGGCGCGACCACACAUCAGCAGCGAGUCGAUGGGGAAUCAACACCUUUCAGGAAGAGAUGUGAACAAAAUCCUGCUGGUGUUUAAACGAAGGUCAAGUGGAACAAAACCGGCCCGAAUGGCAAAGGCAAGAAACACCUGGAUAUGUGAGGAAAAACCUUGAUUACAGUCAAUCCCUUAAGAAUAAAAAGCGAAUGUGGACUACCACACUGCAUGUAAUGGUCGUUGUAGGACAAUAAAUCAUCAUUCUGGUACAUGCAGUAUUUUACUCUAAGUUAUUAUAUUUCCACCUCUUUCCAGCUUGACACUCGUGACCUGAAAUUGCUCUGAGAGUCUGUAAAUUACAGUGGAAACACAGAAUGUUAUCAGAUAAAUCCAUUUUCUAGACUUUUCUUAAAAACAAUGACUACAUAAAAAAAUGCUACACUUUUGAAGUAACACAUGUGGACUCUAUAUUCUGAAAGAGAAUACAUCAAAUACAUUAAUAGAAGGAAAAAUACUAUAACUUUUGGAAUUUUUGACAUUAACAAGAAAUUUUUUCUUUCUUUUUUUUAUUUUUUAUACAAAGGUCUAAGCUCAUCACAGGCCAAGAAUUUUAUUUAUUUCACAAGCAUGGAGGUAAACCCUACAGGUGGUCAUGCCUGUCUGGCUUUGGUCAAGAUGCUAGGUUCACAACACCCUCAGUAAUGCACGUUCAAUUGACCACUUUCAAUGAAAGUUCUAUGUAAAUGUUCAUAUUUGCACAUUUUGAGGUUUCACUUUUGAAAAGCUACACAAGUUCCUAUGUACUCUAACUAAAAAACAAGAAUCCUUUUAAUUCACGGAAGACCCAACCAUUUUAAAUGAUCACAGAGGACAAAUUAAUAAUUGCGGUUUGUGCUCAGACAGAAUUGUAAGACAUCAAUUCUUUCAUAUUUUGGAAAGAAAAAGAAGAGAAAGCCUGGAGCAAAAAUCGUGAGAUUUGCAUCAAUUUGACAUUUCACACCAAGCUUCUUCUAGCUGUGGAUGACAGACAUGCACUAGUAAACAGGGUAAAAAAAAAAAAAAA
Long non-coding RNA from Oryzias melastigma (Indian medaka), 1236 nucleotides. RefSeq lists it as uncharacterized. The transcript is spliced from 2 exons. Lineage: Eukaryota; Metazoa; Chordata; Actinopteri; Beloniformes; Adrianichthyidae. The record is from RefSeq and is a predicted model, not a curated record.